Long non-coding RNA from Sinocyclocheilus rhinocerous, 287 nucleotides. RefSeq lists it as uncharacterized. The record is from RefSeq and is a predicted model, not a curated record. The transcript is spliced from 3 exons. Lineage: Eukaryota; Metazoa; Chordata; Actinopteri; Cypriniformes; Cyprinidae.
CAUCAUUUGAACCAAGCGCGCUGAUUUUUCUGGAGUUGAAAAGGCAGCCACAGUAUUCUACCUCAAAAUCUUCACAAAGCACCACCUGUCCCUUUUAAUACAUCUAGUACGCCUUCCAGUCCUCUACGCCACUCCUCUGUUGGACAUGUUCCAGAUCUGACUCAUCCUGAAGAUGGUUACACAGAGCCUCCAGCUGCUAGGUCUUCUUCUCACAUGCCAUCGAGCUCUAUGGACCAGAUCUCUGCCAUGUCUCUGUCAAAUGAGCAUUCCUUUAGGCCCACAUUUAG